UGAGGAAUAUUGCGCAAUGGAGGAAACUCUGACGCAGUGACGCCGCGUGCAGGAAGAAGGUUUUCGGAUUGUAAACUGCUUUAGACAGGGAAGAAACAAGACAGUACCUGUAGAAUAAGCUCCGGCUAACUACGUGCCAGCAGCCGCGGUAAUACGUAGGGAGCAAGCGUUAUCCGGAUUUAUUGGGUGUAAAGGGUGCGUAGACGGGAAGUCAAGUUAGUUGUGAAAUCCCUCGGCUCAACUGAGGAACUGCAACUAAAACUAACUUUCUUGAGUGCUGGAGAGGAAAGUGGAAUUCCUAGUGUAGCGGUGAAAUGCGUAGAUAUUAGGAGGAACACCAGUGGCGAAGGCGACUUUCUGGACAGUAACUGACGUUGAGGCACGAAAGUGUGGGGAGCAAACAGGAUUAGAUACCC
This 416-nucleotide ribosomal RNA is filed under the name uncultured bacterium. RNAcentral's name for it is "bacterial SSU rRNA". It matches the Rfam family "Bacterial small subunit ribosomal RNA", at positions 355 to 787 of the family's 1533-position model. The record is from RNAcentral.